This 662-nucleotide ribosomal RNA is filed under the name Enterobacter sp. BN2. RNAcentral describes it as "bacterial SSU rRNA". It matches the Rfam family "Bacterial small subunit ribosomal RNA", at positions 48 to 701 of the family's 1533-position model. Lineage: Bacteria; Pseudomonadati; Pseudomonadota; Gammaproteobacteria; Enterobacterales; Enterobacteriaceae. The record is from RNAcentral.
AGCUUACCUGCAGUCGUACAGGUAGCACAGAGAGCUUGCUCUCGGGUGACGAGUGGCGGACGGGUGAGUAAUGUCUGGGAAACUGCCUGAUGGAGGGGGAUAACUACUGGAAACGGUAGCUAAUACCGCAUAAUGUCGCAAGACCAAAGAGGGGGACCUUCGGGCCUCUUGCCAUCAGAUGUGCCCAGAUGGGAUUAGCUAGUAGGUGGGGUAACGGCUCACCUAGGCGACGAUCCCUAGCUGGUCUGAGAGGAUGACCAGCCACACUGGAACUGAGACACGGUCCAGACUCCUACGGGAGGCAGCAGUGGGGAAUAUUGCACAAUGGGCGCAAGCCUGAUGCAGCCAUGCCGCGUGUAUGAAGAAGGCCUUCGGGUUGUAAAGUACUUUCAGCGGGGAGGAAGGUGUUGUGGUUAAUAACCACAGCAAUUGACGUUACCCGCAGAAGAAGCACCGGCUAACUCCGUGCCAGCAGCCGCGGUAAUACGGAGGGUGCAAGCGUUAAUCGGAAUUACUGGGCGUAAAGCGCACGCAGGCGGUCUGUCAAGUCGGAUGUGAAAUCCCCGGGCUCAACCUGGGAACUGCAUUCGAAACUGGCAGGCUGGAGUCUUGUAGAGGGGGGUAGAAUUCCAGGUGUAGCGGUGAAAUGCGUAGAGAUCUGG